UUUAAGAUUUCUUUUUGUCCUUUAAUACAAGACUGAACUGUGAAUGCCUAAAGUGACAAGAAAUCAGAUGCAUUGUGCAGAUAGAUCAUUGUGAUAAACUUGGAACCAGGAGUUAAUAUAUUGCAUUAUUUAGAGUGUGAACCAACCUCAGAGGUGACACGUGCAUUUCACUCUUACUGGUGUGAGAGAAAGAUGCUACAAGCUUUUGUUCAGGAAUAAUUCAUUAAAAACCAACAAGUAGUGGUUUAAACAGCUUCAAAUGCAGACUAAAAUAGCCAAGCUGCAGUUCUAGCUGUGUGGGAGAAUGUUUCUGAUUCACCAAUUGUAUUCUGCAUAUUGCUAUUUGGUUUUAGCUCAUUACAAUGUGACGUGCCAUAAUCUCAAGUCACUUGCAAGAAUAGAGCAACCCCCAAUAUUUUAC
Non-coding RNA from Pelobates cultripes (western spadefoot toad), 421 nucleotides. NCBI's taxonomy places the organism in Eukaryota, Metazoa, Chordata, Amphibia, Anura, Pelobatidae. The record is from the annotation of a GenBank genome assembly.